UUUCUUUCAUAGCAUCCUUGGCUGAAGCUUGACUUCCUUGAGGGGAUGAAGCAACCUCUUAAUUAUCGGGGGAGGAGAUAGAAGAGCAGAGUCCAGUGGCAUCCUUGGAGGCGUGGAUGACGGAGCAGCAUCUCAGGUUUAUAGGCAGUGGCAGCAGUUGGAGGAAGGGUUUGCUUUGCGAAUUGCGCUUCGGACAGCUGCCUCCACUUCUGGCUGCAAGAACUCCAAAGCUGCUGGAGACCAUGAAGAUUGCGGUAUCCAUCGCGGUGAUCCUCGUGGUUCUGUCUGUCAUGGCAGAUUCUGCUGAGGCUCCACAGAAAGAAAAAAGCCUGUCUGAAAAGUUUGAAAAAUUCCAGCACGACGUUCAGUCUUUUGUCCAACGCGUUGGCGAGAAGACCAAAGAAGCUUUCCAUGACCUUCACAACAGUGAAUUCAGUAAUAAGACUAGGAGCUGGAUCAAAGAGAACUUCCAGAAGCUGAAGGACAAAUUCAAGGCCAUUUCCUAGGAUGGAUCAAAAUGAUCCUGCCCCUGUUUCACCCACAUCUCCACGUAUGGCUUUCUCAUACCCCAUAUCCCAUCCUUGAUGAUCAUGUAGAGAAACUUCUGGCUCUCCAAGGGAAAGAAUGAAGAAUACAGGUGGUACCUGCUUGGCUGCACCUCUGUAACUGCCCUGUUAUUUUCUACUUUUGUUGUUUUUGUUCAUGAUUUAUGGGAAUAAUUUCUUAGACACAAAUAAAUGAAAGGAUUAUUUCCUGGUGAAAUAGAAU
Molecule: long non-coding RNA, 768 nt
Filed under: Salvator merianae (Argentine black and white tegu)
Lineage: Eukaryota; Metazoa; Chordata; Lepidosauria; Squamata; Teiidae
Description: lncRNA (ENSSMRG00000006216.1)
Source: RNAcentral